CCUACGGGAGGCUGCAGUGGGGAAUAUUGGACAAUGGGCGAAAGCCUGAUCCAGCCAUGCCGCGUGUGUGAAGAAGGCCUUCGGGUUGUAAAGCACUUUCAGUGGGGAAGAAAGCCUUGGGGCUAAUACCCUCGAGGUAGGACAUCACCCACAGAAGAAGCACCGGCUAACUCCGUGCCAGCAGCCGCGGUAAUACGGAGGGUGCGAGCGUUAAUCGGAAUUACUGGGCGUAAAGCGCGCGUAGGCGGUCUGAUAAGCCGGUUGUGAAAGCCCCGGGCUCAACCUGGGAACGGCAUCCGGAACUGUCAGGCUAGAGUGCAGGAGAGGAAGGUAGAAUUCCCGGUGUAGCGGUGAAAUGCGUAGAGAUCGGGAGGAAUACCAGUGGCGAAGGCGGCCUUCUGGACUGACACUGACGCUGAGGUGCGAAAGCGUGGGUAGCAAACAGGAUUAGAUACCCUUGUAGUC
RNAcentral lists this ribosomal RNA (465 nucleotides) under Vreelandella stevensii. Its description in RNAcentral is "partial 16S ribosomal RNA". It matches the Rfam family "Bacterial small subunit ribosomal RNA", at positions 338 to 795 of the family's 1533-position model. The record is from RNAcentral. Lineage: Bacteria; Pseudomonadati; Pseudomonadota; Gammaproteobacteria; Oceanospirillales; Halomonadaceae.